This 160-nucleotide unclassified non-coding RNA is filed under the name soil metagenome. RNAcentral's name for it is "partial internal transcribed spacer 1". The record is from RNAcentral.
CAGAGUUGCAAAACUCCCUAAACCAUUGUGAACCUUACCCAAACCGUUGCUUCGGCGGGCGGCGCACCGCGCCCCCCCGGCCCCUCGCGGGCGCCCGCCGGAGGUACCCAAACCAUUGAUACUUUAUGGCCUCUCUGAGUCUUCUGUACUGAAUAAGUCA